CCAAUAGCGUAUAUUAAAGUUGUUGCAGUUAAAAAGCUCGUAGUUGAAUUUCGGGGUUCAUCCGUUGGUCGGGCUUUUUUGGUCUGUACCGGCGUGAUGGAUUCCUACCUUCUGAAUAACCAGCAUGUCAUUAAUUUGGUGCGCCGGGGAAGCAGGACUGUUACCUUGAAAAAAUUAGAGUGCUUAAAGCAGGCUAGCGCCUGAAUACAUUAGCAUGGAAAAAUGAAGUAGGACGGCAUGGUUCUAUUUUGUUGGUUUCUAGGAUCACCGUAAUGAUUAAUAGGGAUAGUUGGGGGCAUUAGUAUUCAAUUGUCAGAGGUGAAAUUCUUGGAUUUAUUGAAGACUAACUUCUGCGAAAGCAUUUGCCAAGGAUGUUUUCAUUAAUCAAGAACGAAAGUUAGGGGAUCGAAGACGAUCAGAUACCGUCGUAGUCUUAACCAUAAACUAUGCCGACUAGGGAUCGGACGAUGUUAAUUUUUUAAUGACUCGUUCGGCGCCUUACG
Molecule: ribosomal RNA, 503 nt
Filed under: uncultured Glomeromycotina
Lineage: Eukaryota; Fungi; Glomeromycota
Description: partial small subunit ribosomal RNA
Rfam family: Eukaryotic small subunit ribosomal RNA
Source: RNAcentral